GACGAACGCUGGCGGCGUGCUUAACACAUGCAAGUCGAACGGAAAGGCCCUGUUGGGGGGAGGUGAGUGGCGAACGGGCGGGUAAGACGCGCGUAAGUUGCCCUUGACUGCGGGAGAGCUUCCGUAAAGUGGGGGUAAUACCUGAUAGAAAGGAGCUCUGGCUGGAGGGGGGUGGUAAGAUAGUGUGGGCUGGGGUGGACGUGCGGGCUGUCAGCUUGUUGGUGGGGUUGGGGGUUACCUAGGCUUUGGCGGGUAGCCGGCCUGGGGGGGCGAGCGGCCACAUUAGGACUGGGAUUCGGCCCCGGCUCCUACGGGGAGCCGCAGGGGGGGAUAAUGCACCAUGGGCGGGAGCCCGGUGCAGCAACGCCGCGGGCGGGAAGGCGGCCUUCGGGUUGGAAACCGCUUUCCGCAGGGGCCGAGCUGGUGGUGACGGUACCUGCAGAAGAAGCACCGGCUAACUACGUG
Molecule: ribosomal RNA, 465 nt
Filed under: uncultured bacterium
Lineage: Bacteria
Description: partial 16S ribosomal RNA
Rfam family: Bacterial small subunit ribosomal RNA
Source: RNAcentral